GCGGGAUUGACCGUCGACGUAGUUCGAAUCGCUGGAAAACGUUGGCACACAGUUUAAUACUUUUUAUUAUUAUUAUUAUAUGCGUAAUAAUACACACGUACGGAAUAUCGUUGGUACAAUAUUAUUUAUUCAUUUAUUUUUUUAAUUUAUUUAUUAAGAUUAACCGGCUGAGCCCUUUUUAUAUACAGCAUACAUUUAUAUAUAACAUACUACGAUCAUAAAAAUAUUACGAGCACUACGCACGUGUCGAACUACAGAGACUGCCGAAAGCCCAAAACGAGUGGUUGUCAAAGGUACGGGACGCAUUCUGCACGUCUGUUAAAUUAUAGUAUAAUUAGUAAUUGUUAGGAUUUUCCGUAAUAAUUGUAAUUUUAGAUUUUGAGUGUAGCGAAGAACGUGUUGGUUUUACAAAGUUGUUUAUUUUUUUUUUUUUUUAUACUGUGAACAAAAAAUUCUAUCAGGAAUCUUGUUCUGAAGUAGCAGGAAUUGCACCUUUUCUAAAAGGAGAUUUUCCUGGGGGUAAUUUAAGAUGAUAAUUUUUUGAUUUUUCUUAGUUUUCCCAAUCAACGGAGAAAAAUAGACAGAUGGAAAAUGUACGAAAUUUUGGUAUUACAGUCGUUUCCUAUUAAUAGAGACAUUGGUUAAUAAGGACAACCGCUUAAUCCGGACAAUACUUCAAUUACGAAAACAAUGUAUAUUUGUAGUGUAAACGCGUUCACCGCUUAUUUGGGCUACGAAUCCGGAUAAUUGGGACAUUGUUUGGGACAAAAAGAUAAUGAAGAAAACCCCAUAAGUGCUUUGGAUGCUUGUUCAAACUACAUUCGUCAACAAUCGUAAGAAACAAACUAAUAUCG
This is a non-coding RNA of Cinara cedri, 854 nucleotides long. The record is from the annotation of a GenBank genome assembly. Lineage: Eukaryota; Metazoa; Arthropoda; Insecta; Hemiptera; Aphididae.